Molecule: ribosomal RNA, 406 nt
Filed under: uncultured bacterium
Lineage: Bacteria
Description: partial 16S ribosomal RNA
Rfam family: Bacterial small subunit ribosomal RNA
Source: RNAcentral
GAUGAACGCUGGCGGCGUGCCUAAUCCAUGCAAGUCGAGCGAGCGGCGGACGGGUGAGUAAUGUCUGGGAAACUGCCUGAUGGAGGGGGAUAACUACUGGAAACGGUAGCUCAUACCGCAUACCAUCAGAUGUGCCCAGAUUGGAUUAGCUAGUAGGUGGGGUAACGGCUCACCCAGGCGAAGAUCCCUAGCUGGUCUGAGAGGAUGACCAGCCACACUGGAACUGAGACACGGUCCAUACUCCUACGGGAGGCAGCAGUGGGGAAUAUUGCACAAUGGGCGCAAGCCUGAUGCAGCCAUGCCGCGUGUAUGAAGAAGGCCUUCGGGUUGUAAAGUACUUUCAGCGGGGAGGCGUUACCCGCAGAAGAAGCACCGGCUAACUCCGUGCCAGCAGCCGCGGUAAUAC